GAUCAUGGCUCAGGACGAACGCUGGCGGCGUGCUUAACACAUGCAAGUCGAACGAGAGGACAAGAGAAGCUUGCUUCUUUUGAAAUCGAGUGGCAAACGGGUGAGUAACACGUAAACAACCUGCCUUCAGGAUGGGGGACAACAGACGGAACGACUGCUAAUACCGAAUACGCUUGGGAGACCGCAUGAUCUUCCAAGGAAGGUGGCCUCUACCUGGUAAGCUAUCGCCUGAAGAGGGUUUGCG
RNAcentral lists this ribosomal RNA (244 nucleotides) under uncultured bacterium. RNAcentral's name for it is "partial 16S ribosomal RNA". It matches the Rfam family "Bacterial small subunit ribosomal RNA", at positions 15 to 235 of the family's 1533-position model. The record is from RNAcentral.